This 364-nucleotide ribosomal RNA is filed under the name uncultured fungus. Its description in RNAcentral is "LSU rRNA". It matches the Rfam family "Eukaryotic large subunit ribosomal RNA", at positions 65 to 424 of the family's 3401-position model. Lineage: Eukaryota; Fungi. The record is from RNAcentral.
CCAACAGGGAUUGCCCCAGUAACGGCGAGUGAAGCGGCAACAGCUCAAAUUUGAAAUCUGGAGUCGUUCUGGCUUCCGAGUUGUAAUUUGCAGAGGGUGUCUCGGAGGGCGGGUCGGUCCAAGUGCCUUGGAACAGGAUACCAAAGAGGGUGAGAGUCCCGUAUCCGGCCGAUUUCGCGCUCCGUGUGAGACCCCUUCGACGAGUCGAGUUGUUUGGGAAUGCAGCUCUAAGCGGGUGGUAAAUUCCAUCUAAAGCUAAAUACCGGCCAGAGACCGAUAGCGAACAAGUAGAGUGAUCGAAAGAUGAAAAGCACUUUGAAAAGAGAGUCAAACAGUACGUGAAAUUGUUGAAAGGGAAGCGCAU